UUCGAGGAAAAUGGAUCAUUGAAUGAUGGAGGAUCACUAACAGGAGCGUGGGAAGACUCCAGAAUCCACUCUGGCUGGAAUCCGGUGGAUACAGCAGUGUUACAGCAGAUAAAGCCAAUGGCAGAAGAUGUUUGGAGAAGAACUUCAGGCCGUGGACUGAAAAGGACAUGACUGAGGCCACUGCACUGAGUGCCAUAGAGAAAACAACAGUGGGCAUCUAUGUCUCCAGAGACACACCAGGCAAUUACUCUUUUGAUGUUGGCAUCAUCAUCGAGGGUGUGGUGGUUCUUAAGGACCUGGAUAAUGUGGCCACUGCAGUAGCCAUGCUUUUCGGACUGCUUUACUCUGUCAACAUGAGUUACCCAUCACAGCUCCGC
Long non-coding RNA from Oreochromis aureus, 377 nucleotides. Lineage: Eukaryota; Metazoa; Chordata; Actinopteri; Cichliformes; Cichlidae. The record is from Ensembl.